GGUUUUAGAUCCGUUCUGGCCUCGUCGGAAAGGGGCCCAAGCGUGAGUUUGGUCAGUAACUCCGCUGAAGUGAUCCAGAUUAAGAAGAAGUUCUUCCUGAAGCACGCCGACGAAACUGUCUUAAGUCACAUCAAGAUGAAGUACACACCAUGGCCGUCCCAGGAGGACGUCCUCGCGAGUCUGUGGAAGGAGCACCAAUGGGAGGACUUCAAGCGGGACGCACUAUACCGCGCGGUCAGCAGCGUCACCUCGCGACAGGCCGUGCAAAUGCAGAGACCCAAAACUACAAAAACGAAUUGAUGGAAAUAUUGUUUAAUGGAGCAACAGAGUUUCUUAUUGCCCAAGUUUUAUGGAUCGGUUGGCACGAGGAAAAGGAGGUUUGUCCUGAGUCUGGACAAGUGUUCAUAACUGUGACAAUCGACCUCUGGAACAGUUGUUGUUGCUGGCACAUGCUGCUUAGUACUUCGCUGCUACCCCUUUCUGUUUUUUUUUUACAGAAUUGGCAUUUCAGUUGCUGUCAAGAUCUGGUAGAAAAUACUUAUACAAGGUGAUAUACACCUGAGCCAUUUGUUUUUUCUUGAAAUGAAUUGUAUCUGGGGCUGGGCCCUUAAAAAUUGAAAGUUGUUCCGUCGAUGA
Molecule: long non-coding RNA, 636 nt
Organism: Branchiostoma floridae (Florida lancelet)
Lineage: Eukaryota; Metazoa; Chordata; Leptocardii; Amphioxiformes; Branchiostomatidae
Exons: 3
Source: RefSeq, a predicted model, not a curated record